UAAAUUUACACAGAGUCUGUGUGGAUGAUGUCCUCCUCCAGCUACCCAGAGCAGCUGCAAGGCCAGUAAGAGUUUCCAAACGUGGAAGAAAUGGGCAGACAGCAGAUGCUGGGUGGCAUAUGGGUUAUAGCUCAGAGCUGGAUGUUACUGGUUACAAAUGGUUCACUGCUGGCAUACACUGGAAGGGUAAACAUCUCUGUGGAAAUGUGUAAAACUUGUAAAACUGAACAUGGAUAGAUAAUGAAAUCUGCUUUCAGAGUUGCUGGCAUUUCUGUCUACAGAAAAGAUUGUCCUUUCUUCUUAAAAACUACUUGAGAACGCAGUGGAGAAACCUCAGUACAACAUGAGGUGAGAAUUUGCCUCCUUUGAAAUGAGCUGGAUGUGGAAGAGCCAAUUUCAGUAUUCUUUUAUUUAUAGACAUCCUGGUGGCAGUUUUGUUCUUAAGUGCUAUCAGCAGCCAUCAAUGCAUUUCAGAUAGAUCCCAAGCCAGCAGCUCCAGGGUUUUUCCAUUCCUUCCCCUGCGUUUUCCAAGCGUUUUUAAUCCCUGUCAAAGACUGUAUCAACAGUCCUGACAGGUGGAUAAAGCACUAGCAAGAGUAUCAAGAGUUACUGUUUCUGUUGGAAAAAUAAGAAGUAUUUGAUUCAAAACAUUGGUUAUACUGGUUAUAUUUAAACUCCUUUGAAGUCAAUAGUGAGAUUCUACUGAUCCUACUGCAAGAUGAAUUAUUCCAAGGGAUCCAGUACAAACAUUUAGACCUACUUAUCUAGAAGAAGCAGACUCUCCAAACCAGAGACAAAAUACCACAUGUAAUGCACAUAUUUACUAUUUGUGUACUAAGCACAAAGAGAAGGGCAUAGGGCCAGGAGAGAGAUAAGGUAACUUUUAUUUUAUGCCGUGAAAUUGCAUCUGACAGCACGGUGUAUCCAUUUGUGAGCAGUGUAGAUGAGUCUGAACCAUCUGGGGAAGUGAGUAAGAAGGGGUCUGUGCUGUUAGAUGUGGAGCUGAUGGCAGAAGACAUCCCCUGUACUUUCUGCACUGUACAGAAGAGGAAGGAAGGGCAGGUUGCACAAAGGCAGUGCCAGGCUGUCAGGAUUUCCUCUGUGAGAACUUCUGAGUUCUCAGAAUGUACAGAGCAUUGUGUAUUACCCAGAUGUUGCAUCGGUGCGUAAAAGGCACAGGUUCAUCCGUGACAGGAAAGGGUAAUGGUGACUGUAAAACUGGGCAUGCAAAAGAAAUGCUUGAGUUAUGGUUGCUUGUAAAACUUUGCUUACUCUUCCCUCUAGAACUGAAGUACUGCUUUGAUUUCCAGAGACACUUCUUAAAUGUGUGCUGCUGUCCUAGUUUGGGCAGGGCUGUGGCCAGCUCGUUCCCCCAUCCCUGUGCAGAUCAUUCACAGAAUGGUCUGGUCUGGACUUUGCAGUAAUCUCUGAUGUACAGGCAAUCUACCUCCAGUGAUGCAGGGAAGGAGCCACAGCCUCUGUCAGCGGUCGGGGCUGGCUGCCAGCAGGAGUGCAGUGGCUUGCAGCACUGCUGUCUGCAUGUCCCACGGGAACAAGCUCUUUCAGCUGCUGCCAAACUCUUCAAUCACUCUGAAAUUCACCCAUGAAGCAACUCCUCUGUGGAGCACAGCAGCAAAGAGCAAAUUGGCACUGGAGGCCUUUCUCAUAGCGCUUCGCUAAACUGUCUCAGAGAUUUGUAUGUGACACUGGAAGUUUCUCUGAAAGAAUAAUCAAAACUCCUCAAAGUGUUUAAGGAAAAUAUGACAAGAAUUUAAGCCUUGUGUUAGAAAAAUUGUUUGUAUCGUUCCUCAGAGAUUCCUCAGAGAUUAUUCCUCAUUGUUUAUUUAUAAACAAUGUUGUCGUGCAUUAACUUCUUGUGCACCGAUCC
Molecule: long non-coding RNA, 1888 nt
Organism: Cyanistes caeruleus (blue tit)
Lineage: Eukaryota; Metazoa; Chordata; Aves; Passeriformes; Paridae
Source: RefSeq, a predicted model, not a curated record